Molecule: ribosomal RNA, 273 nt
Filed under: Triticum aestivum (bread wheat)
Lineage: Eukaryota; Viridiplantae; Streptophyta; Magnoliopsida; Poales; Poaceae
Description: partial small subunit ribosomal RNA
Source: RNAcentral
AUGGAGGUGGACUGUCAGGAUCUGGUUGACCUCUGGAAAUCGCGCGACAACUCAAGAUCUGUUGCAGCGCCUAUCUUGACCGAGUUAGAGGAGAUUAGUGCUUUGUUCGUUUUCUUUUCUGUUACCCAUGUCAGUAGGGAGGUUCAUGUACCUGCCCACUGAUGUGCACGUCUAGCAUGCACAUCAGAGUGGACGGAGAGUUGGCUUGAUAUAAGCCCUGAGUUCCUUCUUCCUUCCCUUCGGGCGGAUUGUAACACCAUGAUUUUCAGAUAA